AUUCUUCUUAAAAUUCUAUUUUAACAACUUCCCCUGAAGCAUCUUGCAAAUUAUCUCUCUUGAAAGAGGAUUGUUAUUCUGACCCUUUCAUUUUAGAAUUGCAGAAAGUGAGAUUUUCCACUGAUGAGCUGUUUGAGUUCAGACUAGUCACGGAAACUGGUCUAACACAAACUGAUGCUAGAAAACGGGAAACUUGGGCAAAGAAGAGGAAUCUCAUGCAGUGCCCAGAUGUAUUUUCAGGUCCUAACCUUUUCCAAGUUUUUAUCAGAAUAUAUCAAUUUCAUCAUCUUCAGCCAAUGCAAACCAGAUCAACUAGACAGGAUUAGAAUGACUUUCUCUAGUCACGUGUCAGAAUUGAACAUCUGCUUCCUGAACUAUCAAGAUGCACUGAACUACUCAUUUGACUCAAACGGAAAGAUUAUCAGAGCAGCAUGUCAGCUCUCUUUCUAACUUCAGAUAUUAUUUGUCACCUGGCCUUUUGUCACUGACCUGACUGACAAUGAAUGUUUUUCCUGGUUUUCACCUCUGCUGAAAUCAGGGCUUCCAUUGAAUGUUAUGCUAAUACCACGCUUAUGAUUAUGGCCACAGUGAUUGUGGAUUAUGGUGUUUAUGGCAACUCAAAUAUUUCAGGCUUCUUUCUUCAGUGUACAUGACAGGAGCACACUUUUUCUGUUUCUUUAAAGUUGAGCAUG
RNAcentral lists this long non-coding RNA (692 nucleotides) under Macaca nemestrina (pig-tailed macaque). Its description in RNAcentral is "lncRNA (ENSMNEG00000045948.1)". Lineage: Eukaryota; Metazoa; Chordata; Mammalia; Primates; Cercopithecidae. The record is from RNAcentral.